AUGGUGGCCGGGCUGGGGCCGUGGCUGCUGGCCUUGGCCUUGGGGCCGGCAGGAGUGUGCACCCAGUGGCAACUGGUAGAGUUUGGUGGAGAUGUGCGAGCAUCUGGGGACUCUGUGUCCCUGCUCUGCCAGACAUCUGGAUUUAGCUUCAGUGUCUAUGACAUACACUGGUACCGUCAGACCCCCGGAGGCAUUCCUGAAUGGGUGUCAUUCAUCGGCAGCCAGGCUGGUACUACGAAGAAAUAUGGGACAGCAGUGGAAGGUCGAGCCACCGUCUUCCGGAACAAUUCCCAAGCUGUGGCAUCUCUGUCCCUUCACCACUUGCAUCCUGGGGACUCAGCUCGCUACUUUUGUGGCCUUGCACUGUGA
Non-coding RNA from Coturnix japonica (Japanese quail), 369 nucleotides. Lineage: Eukaryota; Metazoa; Chordata; Aves; Galliformes; Phasianidae. The record is from the annotation of a RefSeq genome assembly.